AGGGGGAGUGGGAGAGGAAGAAGCAGGCUCAUAGCGGAGGAGCCUGAUGUGGGGCUAGAUCCUGUAAACGCCAGAAUCACGCCCUGAGCCGAAGGCAGACGCUUAACCGCUGUGCCACCCAGGCGCCCCAGUAAGUGUCUUUUAUUAAAUAAAGGACAGAGAAAUGAAACGGCCAGUGAUCAGGCUCAAAUAGAUGCAUUCUUAACAAAAAUCAUUGACUUUCAUUCUUGCUCCAUUAAACUUAUCACAAGGAGACACGCCAUUUCUACCAUUACCUUGUGAAUUAGCUUGGUGCACUCUGCUUCAACACAGGAGUGAAGCUGAAUUCAUCCUGAGUUUGAACGAGCAAAGUGACCACACUCUGUUCUCACCUACGGCCCAGAGUUGAGCAAAGAGAAAUAUGUAGGAAAGGCACAAAGGGGUCUUUGACUGCUUUAAAAUUCAAGCAGGACAAGGAGGUGGUCUGUGACUUGCAAAGCCUACGGAGAUAAUUUCCUGGUGUGGGAGGAGUUGGGUCGCUUCCCAGGCCACCUUUGGCCCCUCACAUCCCUUCCACGUUUCCUGAAGUCUGGCUCUGUCUGGCUCCCUUGUUCAAGCUCGGGCACUUCCUGUGGCCCUCUGACUGGCUGGCACCUCCCCGGGAUCACUUCUGCUUCCUCUUUUCCCUCCUCCUCCCCUCACUUCCUGUGCGUGACGAAUCAGGCAAGUUCUGAGGGGGAAGCCACUUGAUUGUGUGGGCUGGUUGGGAUCCGGGCAGCAGGGGGAGACUCUCCCUGUAGGAUCCUGUCCUGGAUUGAGAUUAACUCUUAGUUUAGGGUACUUCAUUACAGCUUUCAGGAUGCAGGACAACUUCUCCAGCAGCAGGCGGGUGUCCCUGUCGAUGAUGGCAUGCCGCUCCCCCUCCAGCUGUGGACAGACACACAAAGAGCCUUUGGAACCACCAGUCACGUCCAUGCUGUUACUGCACAGAGGUCACCCUCCAAAACUCUGUGACAGUGAUGCUGAUGAGGGAGUCACUUCGUGUUUUAAGAGAGGCGUCCUACACUGUUCCGAAGAGGAGAAGAUUGGAGCCCAGAGGAAGUGAAAAUCCUCGUGGUUUAGGGUUAGAAUCUGAUUGAUGUGCUGGCUUGUUGACAAGGAUGGGUCAGCUUCUCUGCUCUGCCCAUUUCAGGUGUCAUUACAACAGCCACGUGAGGAGCACGCACCACUCUGCUCUGGAGGCAUCACCAUCCGCAUAACCACGAGAGUCUUAUUCUCACUAGAUGGUUUACACUUUGAGAAAUAAAUAUUCUGUGGUGGUCA
This 1302-nucleotide long non-coding RNA is filed under the name Ursus maritimus (polar bear). Its description in RNAcentral is "lncRNA (ENSUMAG00000020730.1)". Lineage: Eukaryota; Metazoa; Chordata; Mammalia; Carnivora; Ursidae. The record is from RNAcentral.